This 73-nucleotide transfer RNA is filed under the name Loxodonta africana (African savanna elephant). It matches the Rfam family "tRNA". Rfam says of the family: Transfer RNA (tRNA) molecules are approximately 80 nucleotides in length. Their secondary structure includes four short double-helical elements and three loops (D, anti-codon, and T loops). Lineage: Eukaryota; Metazoa; Chordata; Mammalia; Proboscidea; Elephantidae. The record is from Rfam by way of RNAcentral.
ACAUUGAUAGUUCAGUGAUAUAGAAUGCUCGCCUUCUCUGUGGGAGACCCAGGUUCAAUUCCUGACCAAUGGA